UAUCGAACCAGAUAAGAUACCCUGUUAGUCCCGCACGUUAAACGAUGAAUGCCCGCUGUUGGCGAUAUAGUGUCAGCGGCCCAAGAGAAAUCGUUAAGCAUCCCACCUGGGGAGUACGCCGGCAACGGUGAAACUCAAAGGAAUUGACGGGGGCCCGCACAAGCGGAGGAACAUGUGGUUUAAUUCGAUGAUACGCGAGGAACCUUACCCGGGCUUGAACUGCAGAGGAAGGAUCUGGAGACAGUGACGCCCUUCGGGGCCUCUGUGGAGGUGCUGCAUGGUUGUCGUCAGCUCGUGCCGUGAGGUGUCGGCUUAAGUGCCAUAACGAGCGCAACCCUUUUCGUUAGUUGCCAUCAGGUGAAGCUGGGCACUCUGGCGAUACUGCCACCGUAAGGUGUGAGGAAGGUGGGGAUGACGUCAAAUCAGCACGGCCCUUACGUCCGGGGCUACACACGUGUUACAAUGGCGCAUACAGAGAGCCGGUCUCAUGCAAAUGAGGUCUAAUCAAUAAAGUGCGUCGUAGUUCGGACUGGGGUCUGCAACCCGACCCCACGAAGCUGGAUUCGCUAGUAAUCGCACAUCAGCACGGUGCGGUGAAUACGUUCCCGGGCCUUGUACACACCGCCCGUCACACCAUCCGAGUGGGGGGUACCCGAAGUCGUGAGUCUAACCGCAAGGAGGACCAUGCCGAAGGUACGCUUCGUGAGGGGGGUG
This 714-nucleotide ribosomal RNA is filed under the name uncultured bacterium. RNAcentral describes it as "bacterial SSU rRNA". It matches the Rfam family "Bacterial small subunit ribosomal RNA", at positions 766 to 1482 of the family's 1533-position model. The record is from RNAcentral.